Molecule: ribosomal RNA, 275 nt
Filed under: uncultured bacterium KC112
Lineage: Bacteria; Bacillati; Cyanobacteriota; Cyanophyceae; Chroococcales; Prochloraceae
Description: partial 16S rRNA
Rfam family: Bacterial small subunit ribosomal RNA
Source: RNAcentral
UCGCCUGAGGAUGAGCUCGCGUCUGAUUAGCUAGUUGGUGAGGUAAUGGCUCACCAAGGCUUCGAUCAGUAGCUGGUCUGAGAGGAUGAUCAGCCACACUGGGACUGAGACACGGCCCAGACCCCUACGGGAGGCAGCAGUGGGGAAUUUUCCGCAAUGGGCGAAAGCCUGACGGAGCAACGCCGCGUGAGGGACGAAGGCCUCUAGGCUGUAAACCUCUUUUCUCAAGGAAGAAGAUAUGACGGUACUUGAGGAAUAAGCCACGGAUAAUUCCG